UACGAAGGGGGCUAGCGUUGCUCGGAAUCACUGGGCGUAAAGCGCACGUAGGCGGCUUUUUAAGUCGGGGGUGAAAUCCUGGAGCUCAACUCCAGAACUGCCUUCGAUACUGAAGAGCUUGAGUCCGGGAGAGGUGAGUGGAACUGCGAGUGUAGAGGUGAAAUUCGUAGAUAUUCGCAAGAACACCAGUGGCGAAGGCGGCUCACUGGCCCGGUACUGACGCUGAGGUGCGAAAGCGUGGGGAGCAAACAGG
RNAcentral lists this ribosomal RNA (253 nucleotides) under uncultured bacterium. RNAcentral describes it as "partial 16S ribosomal RNA". It matches the Rfam family "Bacterial small subunit ribosomal RNA", at positions 524 to 776 of the family's 1533-position model. The record is from RNAcentral.